This is a long non-coding RNA of Formica exsecta, 672 nucleotides long. RefSeq lists it as uncharacterized. Lineage: Eukaryota; Metazoa; Arthropoda; Insecta; Hymenoptera; Formicidae. The record is from RefSeq and is a predicted model, not a curated record. The transcript has 5 exons.
ACAUCGAUUACAUUCUUCUCUGAAACUAACUAAGAGAUAUUACCCACAUGUGCGUAACAUACUUUAAUAAAUAGAGAUGUCGUCGUAACGUUAAGUUAUUGCCCACUGGCCUACAAUUUGGAACUGCUGCUGGUGUCACGAGCUGGUCCCAGACAACAUCAAUUACAUCCUUCUCUGAAACUAACUAAGAGAUAUUACCCACAUGUGCGUAACAGACUUUAAUAAAUAGAGAUGUCGUCGUAACGUUAAGUUAUUGCCCACUGGCCUACAAUUUGGAACUGCUGCUGGUGUCACGAGCUGGUCCCAGACAACAUCAAUUACAUCCUUCUCUGAAACUAACUAAGAGAUAUUACCCACAUGUGCGUAACAGACUUUAAUAAAUAGAGAUGUCGUCGUAACGUUAAGUUAUUGCCCACUGGCCUACAAUUUGGAACUGCUGCUGGUGUCACGAGCUGGUCCCAGACAACAUCAAUUACAUCCUUCUCUGAAACUAACUAAGAGAUAUUACCCACAUGUGCGUAACAGACUUUAAUAAAUAGAGAUGUCGUCGUAACGUUAAGUUAUUGCCCACUGGCCUACAAUUUGGAACUGCUGCUGGUGUCACGAGCUGGUCCCAGACAACAUCAAUUACAUCCUUCUCUGAAACUAACUAAGAGAUAUUACCCACAUGUG